CUACUAAGCUGGCGACCGGCGCACGGGUGAGUAACACGUAUCCAACCUGCCUCAUACUCGGGGAUAGCCUUUCGAAAGAAAGAUUAAUAUCCGAUAGCAUAUAUUUCCCGCAUGGGUUUUAUAUUAAAGAAAUUCGGUAUGAGAUGGGGAUGCGUUCCAUUAGUUUGUUGGGGGGUAACGGCCCACCAAGACUACGAUGGAUAGGGGUUCUGAGAGGAAGGUCCCCCACAUUGGAACUGAGACACGGUCCAA
RNAcentral lists this ribosomal RNA (252 nucleotides) under uncultured bacterium. RNAcentral describes it as "partial 16S ribosomal RNA". It matches the Rfam family "Bacterial small subunit ribosomal RNA", at positions 77 to 334 of the family's 1533-position model. The record is from RNAcentral.